AACGAACGUUGGCGGCGUGGAUGAGGCAUGCAAGUCGCACGUGAAAGUCCUUCGGGACGAGUAAAGUGGCGGACGGGUGAGUAACACGUAACCAAGCUGCCCGCGAGACUGGGAUAACCGAGGGAAACUUCGGCUAAUACCGGAUGGCCUUGGGAAGGCGCAUGUUUUCCCAAAGUAAAUGGGGGGAGUCCUUCGGGACCGUCCUGCUCGCGGA
This 214-nucleotide ribosomal RNA is filed under the name uncultured bacterium. RNAcentral describes it as "partial 16S ribosomal RNA". It matches the Rfam family "Bacterial small subunit ribosomal RNA", at positions 29 to 225 of the family's 1533-position model. The record is from RNAcentral.